ACGAACGCUGGCGGCGUGCCUAAUACAUGCAAGUCGAGCGAGCUCUCCCAAAUUGAUUUUAUGCUUGCGUAAAUGAUUUUUGGAUUCGGAGCGAGUGGCGAACUGGUGAGUAACACGUGGGUAACCUGCCCUGAAGCGGGGGAUAACAUUUGGAAACAAGUGCUAAUACCGCAUAAUUAGUUGGAACCGCAUGGUUCCAACUUGAAAGAUGGCUCUGCUAUCACUUUGGGAUGGACCCGCGCCGUAUUAGUUAGUUGGUGAGAUAAAAGCCCACCAAGACGAUGAUACGUAGCCGACCUGAGAGGGUAAUCGGCCACAUUGGGACUGAGACACGGCCCAGACUCCUACGGGAGGCAGCAGUAGGGAAUCUUCCACAAUGGACGAAAGUCUGAUGGAGCAACGCCGCGUGAGUGAUGAAGGUUUUCGGAUCGUAAAACUCUGUUGUUAAAGAAGAACAAGUGUUAGAGUAACUGUUAACACUUUGACGGUAUUUAACCAGAAAGCCACGGCUAACUACGUGCCAGCAGCCGCGGUAAUACGUAGGUGGCAAGCGUUGUCCGGAUUUAUUGGGCGUAAAGCGAGCGCAGGCGGUUUUGUAAGUCUGCUGUGAAAGCCCUCAGCUCAACUGAGGAAGUGCAGUGGAAACUACAAAACUUGAGUACAGAAGAGGAAAGUGGAACUCCAUGUGUAGCGGUGAAAUGCGUAGAUAUAUGGGAAGAACACCAGUGGCGAAGGCGGCUUUCUGGUCUGUUACUGACGCUGAGGCUCGAAAGCAUGGGUAGCGAACAGGAUUAGAUACCCUGGUAGUCCAUGCCGUAAACGAUGAAUACUAGGUGUUGGAGGGUUUCCGCCCUUCAGUGCCGCAGCUAACGCAUUAAGUAUUCCGCCUGGGGAGUACGACCGCAAGGUUGAAACUCAAAGGAAUUGACGGGGGCCCGCACAAGUGGUGGAGCAUGUGGUUUAAUUCGAUGCUACGCGAAGAACCUUACCAGCUCUUGACAUCUUCUGCCAACCCAAGAGAUUGGGCGUUCCCUUCGGGGACAGAAUGACAGGUGGUGCAUGGUUGUCGUCAGCUCGUGUCGUGAGAUGUUGGGUUAAGUCCCGCAACGAGCGCAACCCUUAUUAUUAGUUGCCAGCAUUUAGUUGGGCACUCUAGUGAGACUGCCGGUGAUAAACCGGAGGAAGGUGGGGACGACGUCAAAUCAUCAUGCCCCUUAUGAGCUGGGCUACACACGUGCUACAAUGGAUGGUACAACGAGUCGCGAAACCGCGAGGUCAAGCUAAUCUCUUAAAGCCAUUCUCAGUUCGGAUUGCAGGCUGCAACUCGCCUGCAUGAAGUUGGAAUCACUAGUAAUCGUGGAUCAGCAUGCCACGGUGAAUACGUUCCCGGGCCUUGUACUCACCGCC
Molecule: ribosomal RNA, 1407 nt
Filed under: uncultured Bacilli bacterium
Lineage: Bacteria; Bacillati; Bacillota; Bacilli
Description: bacterial SSU rRNA
Rfam family: Bacterial small subunit ribosomal RNA
Source: RNAcentral